This 231-nucleotide long non-coding RNA is filed under the name Lathyrus oleraceus (garden pea). Its description in RNAcentral is "Pisum sativum (pea) long non-coding RNA (PSAT_LNC018092)". The record is from RNAcentral. Lineage: Eukaryota; Viridiplantae; Streptophyta; Magnoliopsida; Fabales; Fabaceae.
GCCAACAUAUGGUCUUGAAUUGUUGAAUAAAGUUAUAGUCUUUGGGCGUGAUAUGGGAUAGGGAGACAUUGAUCACCUUUAAAACGUCUGCCUCAAAUGAAGAAAAUAAUAUUAGGACCCCUAAGUCACAUACGAUGAGGAGGUAAAAGUAGAAGUAGGGGCAUGGAGAAUCACCCAAAGCAGCCGUAUUAACCCUCUCCAUUGAGGAACACGUCUCUAUGAUGACUUCUU